Molecule: microRNA precursor, 210 nt
Filed under: Paramuricea clavata
Lineage: Eukaryota; Metazoa; Cnidaria; Anthozoa; Malacalcyonacea; Plexauridae
Source: RNAcentral
CUUAAGCCUAGUUUCCAUUUGGUCGUUAGUUGUCGCUGGCACGACAAGUGGCUGAUGUAAUAGAGUGUCAACAAAACUUUAUAAAACUCUGCAAUCAUUAAGACUGAUUUGCAUAUAACACACAAAAAGACUAUUGAUAUUAAACUAUUUCACAUAUACCGCUUGUCGUGCCAGCGACAACUAACGACCAAAUGGAAACUAGGCUUUAAG